This 75-nucleotide transfer RNA is filed under the name Fidelibacterota bacterium CG08_land_8_20_14_0_20_45_22. Its description in RNAcentral is "Candidatus Marinimicrobia bacterium CG08_land_8_20_14_0_20_45_22 tRNA-Glu". It matches the Rfam family "tRNA". Rfam says of the family: Transfer RNA (tRNA) molecules are approximately 80 nucleotides in length. Lineage: Bacteria; Pseudomonadati; Fidelibacterota. The record is from RNAcentral.
GGCGCUAUCGUCUAGUGGUUAGGACAUCACGCUUUCAAUGUGGUAACCGGAGUUCAAUUCUCCGUAGCGCUACAA